UAGGGAAUCUUCGGCAAAUGGGGGCAACCCUGACCGAGCAACGCCGCGUGAGUGAAGAAGGUUUUCGGAUCGUAAAGCUCUGUUGUAAGAGAAGAACGUGUGUGAGAGUGGAAAGUUCACACAGUGACGGUAACUUACCAGAAAGGGACGGCUAACUACGUGCCAC
RNAcentral lists this ribosomal RNA (166 nucleotides) under uncultured bacterium. RNAcentral describes it as "partial 16S rRNA". It matches the Rfam family "Bacterial small subunit ribosomal RNA", at positions 355 to 511 of the family's 1533-position model. The record is from RNAcentral.